GCUUUUUAAGGACGGCUUUCCUACUGGAAAUUGCGCCCUAUAUGUUCCUAAUGUUUUUUUUUCAACAACAAAAAAAAAAAAGAAUUUACUUAAUGUUUUUUUUUUUUUUUUUUAUGACUUUUGUUGUGAAUUUUACAAGAACCUAGUGUGUCGCUCAUUUGUUGUUUUUAAUCAGAUGUUACUUAUUUGCUUAUGAAAUAUACGACUUAAGUUUUGAUCAGUUGCCCCAGCCAGUGGUCCCGUGAGAAUCGUGUAUACGCACUAUCCCACGGAGGUACUAACCAUGGUAGUGUAGGUUAAUUGCAAACUGGAACCAGACAUUGACCUGUUCUCUGUCUGGUGAUCAGUCAGGCAGAGGACAUGCCACUGUCUAGAUUCCGAAAUGCAAAAAACUGUUUCAUGAUAUACCCCCCCCCAAAAAAAAGCCAAAUUGUAUAUAUAUGUAUAUAUAUAUAUAUAAAGAAAAAUAAAUUAACUUAUUUCUAUAAUAAAAUACGGGACUUUAUACUUUUAUAUUAAUUUACUAGGAUGCUCAAGGAUUCCAGUUUGAAUUGUACUUGCUUGUUUUUCCCGUAAGUACAUUCGAUGUACUUGUGCUGACGCCAUUGUUAAACAAGCUACAUACACGACAAUCUGGUUAAAUAUUUAACAUAAUUUCAUACCCUGUAUAUCACGACUACCAUGUCAGGGGGUGACCACUGGUUGGCACCGCUAAUCUACUUGUCUAUAUGUUGUGUCGAUGACUUAACAUGAAUUAAUACUUGAAUAUUAAAAAAAAAGUGUAAUAAAUUUAGCAGCU
This 799-nucleotide long non-coding RNA is filed under the name Mytilus galloprovincialis (Mediterranean mussel). The record is from RNAcentral. Lineage: Eukaryota; Metazoa; Mollusca; Bivalvia; Mytilida; Mytilidae.